AGUGAACGCUGGCGGUAGGCCUAACACAUGCAAGUCGAACGGCAGCACAGUAAGAGCUUGCUCUUACGGGUGGCGAGUGGCGGACGGGUGAGGAAUACAUCGGAAUCUACUUUUUCGUGAGGGAUAACGUAGGGAAACUUACGCUAAUACCGCAUACGACCUACGGGUGAAAGCAGGGGAUCUUCGGACCUUGCGCGAUUGAAUGAGCCGAUGUCGGAUUAGCUAGUUGGCGGGGUAAAGGCCCACCAAGGCGACGAUCCGUAGCUGGUCUGAGAGGAUGAUCAGCCACACUGGAACUGAGACACGGUCCAGACUCCUACGGGAGGAGCAGUGGGGAAUAUUGGACAAUGGGCGCAAGCCUGAUCCAGCCAUACCGCGUGGGUGAAGAAGGCCUUCGGGUUGUAAAGCCCUUUUGUUGGGAAAGAAAAGCAGCAGGUUAAUACCCCGCUGUUCUGACGGUACCCAAAGAAUAAGCACCGGCUAACUUCGUG
This 491-nucleotide ribosomal RNA is filed under the name uncultured bacterium. Its description in RNAcentral is "partial 16S ribosomal RNA". It matches the Rfam family "Bacterial small subunit ribosomal RNA", at positions 29 to 507 of the family's 1533-position model. The record is from RNAcentral.